Molecule: ribosomal RNA, 1272 nt
Filed under: Triticum aestivum (bread wheat)
Lineage: Eukaryota; Viridiplantae; Streptophyta; Magnoliopsida; Poales; Poaceae
Description: partial small subunit ribosomal RNA
Source: RNAcentral
AUGGCUAAAUGCCAGCUGUUGCUCCUCUUCUUGGUGUUUCUUUUGCUGGCGGCGCACGCCAAGUCAUGCCACCCUGACGACCUCCGUGCAUUGCAGGGCUUUGCUGGGAACCUCGGCGGCGGGGGCGCCCUUCUCCGUGCCGCGUGGUCUGGUGCGUCGUGCUGCGGCUGGGAAGGCGUGGGCUGUGACGGCGGCAGAGGCCGUGUCACGGUGCUACGGCUUCCAGGGUAUGGCCUCUCGGGGCCAGUCCCAGGAGCCUCCCUGGGGGGCCUUGCGCAGCUGGAGGAGCUCUUCCUCGGCUCCAACUCUUUCACGGGCUCCCUCCCUACCUCCCUCUUCAGCCUUGUUGGGCUGCAGAAGCUCUCCUUCGAAUCCAAUCAGCUCACUGGACAGUUGAGCACGCACCUCCAAGAGCUCAAGAACCUCACCUUGCUGGACUUGUCCGUCAACCGCUUCUCCGGCCGCCUCCCUGACGUGUUUCACGACCUCACGUCGCUGAUCCAUUUGUCCAUGCACUCCAAUGGAUUCUCUGGAUCGUUGCCGCCGUCUCUGUCAUCAUUAUUAUCUCUCCGUGAGCUCAACCUCGAGAACAACUCCUUGUCUGGUCCGAUUGCUCGUGUCAACUUCUCCGGCAUGCCACUUCUUGCUUCAAUUGACUUUGCGGCCAACUACUUGAGUGGGUCUCUCCCGAUUAGCAUCGCGGAUUGUACCGAACUCAAGUCGCUCAGCCUUGCCAACAACCAGUUAGUUGGCACCAUCCCAUCGUGGAUUCGUGAGCUCGUCCACCUUCGCUACUUGGAUCUCUCAAAUAAUUCAUUGAUUGGCGACGUACCCAAGGGUUUGACACUGCUCAAGGGCCUCACCACCGCUGAUCGUUCACAGCGUAUGGCUUUCAUUAACAUGCCAUUGUAUGUGAAGCGUAAUAGGAGAACACUCCAACAACAACCAAAUGUCAUAACUGGAACCAACAACUAUGUCAGAUCUGGGGAUGGCAACACUGUAUCUGGGAAUGACAACACUGUCAUAUCUGGGAAUGACAACACUGUAUCUGGGAGCGACAACACUGUCAGAUCUGGUAACAAAAAUGUCCUGACUGGUAGCAACCAUGUUGUAUCUGGGACCAACAAUGUUGUAUCUGACAAUGACCAUGUCGUAAAUGGGAAUAACAAUGUUGUAUCCGGGGGGAACAAUAUGGUAACGGGCAACAACAAUGUCGUAUCUGGGAGUGACCACGUCGUAUAUGGGAACAACAAAGUCGUAAGUGGAGGUUAA